CACACUUGUAAGGCUAACGAGCAUCCCCGUAUAAGAUAAAAAUGGACGUUGGGACUGAGACGAUGUCUGACAGACUCAAGAACUUGCUUAAAAGAUUUUGUACCCCACGGGUACGAAUCAAAAUGACCACUCCCUAUAAGAAAAAAAGUAAAUUUGUCUAUCAAACAAACAUUGUCCUUAUCAGAAGGACAAACAAAGAAUUCCAACAUAUACAAGACACACAACUGUACA
This 231-nucleotide long non-coding RNA is filed under the name Nicotiana benthamiana. RNAcentral describes it as "long non-coding RNA (NBEN_LNC009295)". Lineage: Eukaryota; Viridiplantae; Streptophyta; Magnoliopsida; Solanales; Solanaceae. The record is from RNAcentral.